RNAcentral lists this ribosomal RNA (137 nucleotides) under Salvator merianae (Argentine black and white tegu). Lineage: Eukaryota; Metazoa; Chordata; Lepidosauria; Squamata; Teiidae. The record is from RNAcentral.
AUCUACAGUCAUACCACCCNGAACACACCCAAUCUCAUCUGAUCUCAGAAGCUAAGAAGGGUCAGACCUGGUUAGUACUUGGGUGGAAGAGUCUGUGAUUACUUCUGCCCCUUCAGUGGAAAAUAAUCAGAUGGAUU